UCUACUCAAAAAUAUAUACAUUUAAAUAGUCUAAUCUUCAAGUCCGAAAAAAAAUAAACUAAAAAGAAAAGUAAAGUUCUAUGCCACUAAUUACAGAUUGCUCGUGUGUAAUUAAGCGCUAAUUAAGCAUUAAAGCUGGAUAAUUAAAAUAAAUUGGCAUAAAUUGAGAAGUUGAGAAUAGAAUACAACAAUUCCAUCAAAGGCCCCAUUCCGAUUCAUGGCUAAUCAUGGCCACAGGAUCUCCCUCUGUGUCUGUGUCUCCCCAUAAAAAACGAGCGGUAACAUUGUAACUUGCAGCUAGGCCCGCGACUCUACAUUUACACCCGAUACUCAGUCAGUAUGGUUCCUCUCCGCCAGUAGGCGCACACUGCACGGUGAAGAGUGCGUGUGUGUGAGAAAGACAGAUGAUGAUCGCUAUCGUAGCCACUGCAAUUUCAUUUGUUCCUUUUGGCUACAAUAAUGAUCCGAUAUAUGGACGACAAUGCCCCACUUAUUAGGGAAUUACACUUCGAGGGUCCUGGCUAUAUCUGGCGGUAUAUAGAUGCACAUGAACAGGGUAAUGAACACUAGGCGCAGAGCCACAGGAAAAAGGUUAUGUAGUGCUUGGAGAUAGAAAGGCCAGCCAUGGAUGGCCGGGGAGACCCAGAGUGUCAGAAAGAACGUCAGACGGAUGUUGAACAGCUGGGGGAAGGCCUUCUUGAAGAACUUUCAGUAGGAAACAUCCAGCUAAUAGAUGCAAAAUGUCCUCUUCGGGUCGAAGAAUGUGAAGUAAUGACCACAGCGACCGUGUACUUGAUAGGCAGCAAGGCCACGAUGCCGUAAAUGGUGUUUUGGGAGGUACCAUUGCAGAUGUUCAGCAGCACAAUGCUUACCUUGCUCCAUCGUGUACGCCUGUUUGGGGGACCAACUGCAUUGCCACUACGAUUACGUAUAUAGUAUAUAUUUAUGUAUAUUCUGAUAUAUGCGAAAAUGAAUAGCUAUAGUUUGGUUAAUUGCUUGCAGAAAUGUUAACACUUGUUUGGCUUUCGAUCAAAUUGCAACUACAAUGAACAAUAACAAUAAAAUGCUACACGCUACAUAAAUUUCAAUUUCGAAUACGAGUAUGUAAUAUAUUGGAUUCCAAUGCUGAAUCUACCCGAAAGUUUUGAUUAAACUAGUUUUUAAUUUGUAGUAUAUAUUGGUCCAAGGGUUUUUGAUUAUUCAUUUGAUUUGUAUGUAAUUUUUGUUUGCUUUGAUAUUUGAUUAAGUUUUAAGUUUUAUUUUCUGAAAGUUUCCAUUCUUCAUGAUCUUGAAGUACAUAUUUUUAUUCAAUUACUACUCCAGUUUCCUUCACUAUCCAAAAAAUUCUCCCUUCUAAGUUUCCUUUAUUUCUUUAAAUUUGUCUUCAAUUCCUAUAUUUCUUCUACAUUCUCAUCCAUAAAAUUCAUACGUUUCUAAUCGUUUUCUCUUCGUUAAUGAUCUAAAAAUGUAUAAUCUUCUUGUUGUAAAGUCAAUCUUUUCAAAUUUCAAAUAAAUGUUCCCUUUUCAUGUCAUAAAAUGUUCCCUAAACAGAAUCAGACUUUAGAGUUUGAUAUUUUCUGAAAACCAAAGAAUUCAAUUUAGAAACCAAAGCAUAAAAAUCUAGUAACCAAAGGACCAAAAAAUGAUAAAACCAAAGAGUAAUUAUUUUUCAAUUGCAUUUUAUAUUUUAUUAAUACACAAAACUUAAAUAAAAUAAUAGAAUUUAAACUCUACAUACCUACAAUACAAUACGUAAUAGUCAUAAGCAUAAUAAUAGAUAAUAAUAAUAAUAGUACACAAUAGUGAUAUUGUCGUUUACAGUUAUUGUACAAUGUAAGAAAUUCUAUUCCGUUUUCCGUUUUCUUUUGUUCUUCUAAACAUUUUCCUGUUUCUUUUGUUGUUUUCCAUACUGUUCUAUUGUUAAGAUUUCUUUAAGAUAUUCUCUCUGUAAAAAUGAAAUGUUGCUGCUUUCGAAUACCGGGAAUACUAUAUCGUGUGUAUAUAUAUAGUCUAGGUAAAUAUUUAGAGAGAGAGUGAAAAAAGGUAUAAUAUAAUACAAAAAAAAAAAAACAAUUGUGUGUGUGUGUCUGAGUAUAUAAGCGCUUUUCCGUGUGAUAGAUCUGAACUUUGCUUUCACUUCACUGAAAUUCGCUUUGCUUGGCUUUGUUUUCACAUCACUUAAAAGUCUAACGAUUUUUUGGUCCAAUAAUAGUUGCGGUGAUACAGGGGGUGUGGUUAUGGGAGGGGGAAGGUACUGGGUUUUCUGGGUGAUCAAAAAAAUAAAUAUGCUUUUCUUGGAAGAAACAA
This 2307-nucleotide small RNA is filed under the name Drosophila pseudoobscura pseudoobscura. RNAcentral's name for it is "GA31375". The record is from RNAcentral. Lineage: Eukaryota; Metazoa; Arthropoda; Insecta; Diptera; Drosophilidae.